CCAGCAUGUGACAUACCUGGAGGUCCAGUUGGAGGUCAAACAAAGGUCACCCUGCGAAACGAACACUUGCAAUACAUCGUUACAUGGAUUUCUUGGUGAAAGCAUCAGGGUUUUGUGCAGGAAUUAGUGACAGGUUGAAGAUGAACUUUAGUUCCGUCAAGUGGUCAUGGGAUUGUUGGGUGCGGCAGCUGCAUGUACAGGGCUGUAAUGCUUGGACGUCUCUGAAUCAACCUGCUACAAACU
Long non-coding RNA from Patiria miniata (bat star), 243 nucleotides. RefSeq lists it as uncharacterized. Lineage: Eukaryota; Metazoa; Echinodermata; Asteroidea; Valvatida; Asterinidae. The record is from RefSeq and is a predicted model, not a curated record. The transcript has 3 exons.